Molecule: ribosomal RNA, 253 nt
Filed under: uncultured bacterium
Lineage: Bacteria
Description: partial 16S ribosomal RNA
Rfam family: Bacterial small subunit ribosomal RNA
Source: RNAcentral
UACGUAGGAUCCGAGCGUUGUCCGGAUUUACUAGGUGUAAAGGGUGCGCAGGCGGACUGGUAAGUCAGUGGUGAAAUCUCGUCGCUUAACGACGAAACUGCCUUUGAUACUAUCAGUCUUGAAUCCGGUAGAGAUCUGUGGAAUUCCGAGUGUAGCAGUGAAAUGUGUAGAUAUUCGGAAGAACACCAGUGGCGAAGGCAGCAGAUUGGGCCGGUAUUGACGCUCAGGCACGAAAGCAUGGGGAUCAAACAGG